UGCAGUAAAGGAAAAAAGAAGACUUUAUGCCUGCUUGUAGAGGCAAUUAUACUGCUCGGGAAAUAGUCAGUACAUUCCAUUUCCCUCGUGAUGAAGAUGCAUGGAGAGAAUGGAUAAGAGCAGUUCACCGUGAUAAUUUCAUCCCUUCAGAUCACUCUGUGAUUUGUGAGCUGCAUUUCCAUGCACACGAAAUAGAAAGAAGUACAUCGUCAUAUGAUGCUAAGACUGGAAGAUUAAUUACACGCCUCUUGAUCGUCCACGUUUAAGGAAAGGAAAUUCUCCCGCAGUGGAAAACACGUGUGUUGGAGCUGCACAGAAAUGAUUGUAAUGUGCAAGAAAUUAAAUCUUUAAACAUCCUCGUUGAUGUUAAAUCAAGGGAGGAGUUUGGACAGUGGUUGGCACAGUUUGAAAACAUAACAAAAACAACUUGUACAAUA
Long non-coding RNA from Schistocerca nitens (vagrant locust), 437 nucleotides. RefSeq lists it as uncharacterized. The transcript has 3 exons. Lineage: Eukaryota; Metazoa; Arthropoda; Insecta; Orthoptera; Acrididae. The record is from RefSeq and is a predicted model, not a curated record.